ACAAGACUACACACCCUUAAAAUGAAUAACAUUUUUUUCAAUUAUUUAACCAUUUUUAUGAAAUAUUUAUUUUGUUUGCCGUGGGACAUAAACGCCAUUUUCUCCAACAUGCAGUGACUGAAAAAUAGAACCAUAAACACACUAAAAACGCAACAUAAUAACAUCAGUCAGUUUUAUUUGUGCUUUGUAAUCCAAGUCUUCUGAAUUCAUACAACUGCCAGUAACAAAUCCAAAUUCAACCCUUUAUUCAGCGAUCAUCUUUCAUCCUCAGCAACGACCGUAUAAACAUCAAAGCCCGCACUGAUUCGUUCGUCCAAAUUCAAAAUGUACCACUUCAAUUAACUACGACGGUAAAAUCGAACGCUCAUUGGUCCUCGCCUGCUUCGUCACAGAUUGCGACAGCAGUGUUCCUGUCUAGGUGUUUGAAUGAUGCGCGCUUUCACAAAGUGAAUCAGGAGGAUAGUCUGAGUAAUAUUUUUAGCGAUUAAAAACUUAAAUUGUGCUCUGUACCUCACACCAAACUAUUGUAUUUCACCUGCGGUGGCAACGCAGCAUCAUUUGGACUACUUUUGACCUGGCCAUGUACCCUGCCCUCUUCAUACAGGUUGUCAUGAUGUCAUUACAGAAGGCAGCCGAAGAACAACUUGGGACACCUCCUGAAAAGACAGUGACUCACACGCACACACACACACACACA
Molecule: long non-coding RNA, 697 nt
Organism: Labeo rohita (rohu)
Lineage: Eukaryota; Metazoa; Chordata; Actinopteri; Cypriniformes; Cyprinidae
Exons: 3
Source: RefSeq, a predicted model, not a curated record